Molecule: long non-coding RNA, 582 nt
Filed under: Piliocolobus tephrosceles (Ugandan red Colobus)
Lineage: Eukaryota; Metazoa; Chordata; Mammalia; Primates; Cercopithecidae
Description: lncRNA (ENSPTEG00000006371.1)
Source: RNAcentral
CAGGCGGUGGCGGCGGUGGCGACGGCCGCACGGCUGCGGCCUCCCUCGGAGAAGCUCCGGUCGCGAGGAUGAAGGGCGGGGCCGCCUCCCGCCUUCAGGAAGCCAUGCAGCAAGUUCUGUCACUGACUCCUGGAGAAAGAAAGAGCCACAUAAUACAGACUUGCUGUGCUGUGGUCCAUGCCUUCCUUGGCCUUCCCUGGCCUGACAAGAAUGGGAGAAGCCUCAGGAUGCUGUAGAAUGCUGGAAGGUUUCAGACACUGACUUGGAUGGACACAUUUGUCCAAAACCUGAAUUCCUUAUUACCACUCCAGGUACACAGUCAGAUACUCCCUCAGGGCAGUUGUAGGUGCAGCUAACUCCAGGCCUGUUCGGAUGGUGCUUCUGGUUCCUUCCAUUGCCAGGCCAUCAUAAUACGGGAGUGGGAGGUGCCCUUUGCAGACAGCCAACUGCCGAUUCCAUGGUUUUUCUUCCCUGUCCUGUUUUGUCCCCACUUUUCAGAAGCCAGUUUUUCUUAUGUACCUUUUUAACUCAAGUCUGUAUUUUACUAAAAGACUGUGAAACCUACUUAUAAUUUUAUUUUAC